AGAGUUUGAUCCUGGCUCAGAUUGAACGCUGGCGGCAUGCCUUACACAUGCAAGUCGAACGCGAAAGCGGGGCAACCCGCAAGUAGAGUGGCGAACGGGUGAGUAAUACAUCGGAACGUAUCCAGUAGCGGGGGGAUAACCUGUCGAAAGAUAGGCUAAUACCGCAUACGAUCUACGGAUGAAAGCGGGGGACCGCAAGGCCUCGCACUAUUGGAGCGGCCGAUGUCGGAUUAGCUAGUUGGUGGGGUAAAAGCUUACCAAGGCGACGAUCCGUAGCUGGUCUGAGAGGACGAUCAGCCACACUGGAACUGAGACACGGUCCAGACUCCUACGGGAGGCAGCAGUGGGGAAUUUUGGACAAUGGGCGCAAGCCUGAUCCAGCAAUGCCGCGCGUGUGAAGAAGGCCUGCGGGUUGUAAAGCACUUUCAGUAGAGAAGAAAAGCCUAGGGUUAAUAGCCCUGAGUCUUGACGUAACCUACAGAAGAAGCACCGGCUAACUCCGUGCCAGCAGCCGCGGUAAUACGGAGGGUGCGAGCGUUAAUCGGAAUUAUUGGGCGUAAAGGGCGCGUAGGCGGCCUGGUAAGUCAGUUGUGAAAGCCCUCGGCUCAACCGAGGAAUUGCGACUGAUACUGCCGGGCUUGAGUCCCGGAGAGGGUAGCGGAAUUCCCAGUGUAGAGGUGAAAUUCGUAGAUAUCAGGAGGAACACCGGUGGCGAAGGCGACUUCCUGGACCAAUACUGACGCUGAGGUGCGAAGGCGUGGGUAGCAAACAGGAUUAGAUACCCUGGUAGUCCACGCAGUAAACGUUGUUCACUAGGUGUAGCGGGUAUUGACCCCUGCUGUGCCGCAGUUAACGCAUUAAGUGCCCCGCCUGGGGAGUACGGCCGCAAGGUUAAAACUCAAAGGAAUUGACGG
This 914-nucleotide ribosomal RNA is filed under the name uncultured bacterium. RNAcentral's name for it is "bacterial SSU rRNA". It matches the Rfam family "Bacterial small subunit ribosomal RNA", at positions 8 to 916 of the family's 1533-position model. The record is from RNAcentral.